RNAcentral lists this ribosomal RNA (464 nucleotides) under Vreelandella stevensii. RNAcentral describes it as "partial 16S ribosomal RNA". It matches the Rfam family "Bacterial small subunit ribosomal RNA", at positions 338 to 794 of the family's 1533-position model. The record is from RNAcentral. Lineage: Bacteria; Pseudomonadati; Pseudomonadota; Gammaproteobacteria; Oceanospirillales; Halomonadaceae.
CCUACGGGGGGCAGCAGUGGGGAAUAUUGGACAAUGGGCGAAAGCCUGAUCCAGCCAUGCCGCGUGUGUGAAGAAGGCCUUCGGGUUGUAAAGCACUUUCAGUGGGGAAGAAAGCCUUGGGGCUAAUACCCUCGAGGAAGGACAUCACCCACAGAAGAAGCACCGGCUAACUCCGUGCCAGCAGCCGCGGUAAUACGGAGGGUGCGAGCGUUAAUCGGAAUUACUGGGCGUAAAACGCGCGUAGGCGGUCUGAUAAGCCGGUUGUGAAAGCCCCGGGCUCAACCUGGGAACGGCAUCCGGAACUGUCAGGCUAGAGUGCAGGAGAGGAAGGUCGAAUUCCCGGUGUAGCGGUGAAAUGCGUAGAGAUCGGGAGGAAUACCAGUGGCGAAGGCGGCCUUCUGGACUGACACUGACGCUGAGGUGCGAAAGCGUGGGUAGCAAACAGGAUUAGAUACCCCAGUAUC